GAGGUCGUUCUCCAGUGGGGAAGAAGGAAUAACAAAAGGAGCAUUUUUGGAGCAUUUAUUAACAGUAUAGGCUAGGCUUUUUUUCUAUGUAUUUUAUAUGUGUCUAUUCAUUUAAUGCCCUUGAUAAUCCACUGAAAGAGGUGUCAUUAUUAUCAUCCCAUUUUACAGAAGAAGAAACUGAAACAAGAAGAUGAGCAUCUCAGCAUCUCAGAGGUGAAGAAACUGGCCUAGCCACCACGUGGUGGCACUUGCAGCCUGAGUCAGCAGAUCCCCAGGCAAAUGAAGACUCUGAGAUGAAGACAGCUGAGCGCAUGAUGGGGUAGGUCAGCCUCCCUCAUGGAAAUUCUGUGUGCCUGAGGCCCACCCUUCCAGUGCAGAUGGAGGGAUGGGAUGGAAAUGAAUCUAGGGGAACGCAUCCCAGCUGUGAUCCAGCCACCUCUGCGUUUGAAGGCUGGGGGUUAUUCCCUCCUCAUGGUUGCCACGCAUUCUUAUGUUUGCAUGUCAUGCUUGGAACUGCCGCAGCCACUUUGUGACAGCCUGAGAAUGAAUCCAGCGCUAAAAUCAGUCUAGCAAAAGGAGGAGAAACACCUGGGUCUCCAUGAUGUCACUGAGCAAGUGAAUUGACCAGCUGUGAGGUACUUCUGUGAUUCCUCCAUCUCACAGGUGAGAAAACUGUAGCUUGGAAUGGCUAAGUCAUUUGGGUGAAGUUACAUGGCCUAUUAGAUAUGUGACCAAGGUUUGGCUCUGGUUCUUGGCUUACCUCUGGCCCUGCCUGGAUUUUUAGCCCUGGAUAAUGCAUUCUCCUAGUCUGGCCCUCAGUUUUCCCAUCUGCAAAUGCAAAGUGUGGAUGGAAUGACUCAGAAUCUUCUGCUUCUGAAGUUUACUGGUUUUCACAAUGUGGGAAGUGUAGCUGACUGUUAUAGACUGAAUUCUGUCACCCAAAAUUCAUGUGGAACAUAAUCCCCUAUGAACUGUAUUUGGAGAUAGGGCCUUUAGGGAGAUAAUUAAGGUUAAAGGAGAUUAUAAGGGUGGGAAAUACAGUUGACUGUUACGGACUGAAUUCUGUUCCCUCCAAAUUCAUGUUGAACGUAAUCCCUUAUGGACUGUAUUUGGAGAUAGGGCCUUUAAGGAGAUAACUAAGGUUAAAGGAGGUUAUAAUGGUGGGGUCCUAAUCCACAGGACUGGUGUCCUUAUAAUGAAAGGAAGAGACACUGAGUUCUGUCUCCCAGCCUUGUGAGGACACGUUGAGAUGACUGCAAGCUGGGAAGAGAGCCUUCACCAGGAGCUGAAUUUGCUGGUAGUUUGAUCUUGAACCACAUUGAGAUGACUGCAAGCUGGGAAGAGAGCCUUCACCAGGAGCUGAAUUUGCUGGUACUUUGAUCUUGAACCUCCAGCCUCCAGAAUUGUGACAAAAUAAAUUUCUGUUGUUGAAGCCACUCAGUCAGAUGUUUUGUUAUGGCAGCCCAAGCUGAGCAAUAUACUG
This 1483-nucleotide long non-coding RNA is filed under the name Homo sapiens (human). Its description in RNAcentral is "HSALNT0384457". The record is from RNAcentral. Lineage: Eukaryota; Metazoa; Chordata; Mammalia; Primates; Hominidae.